Molecule: long non-coding RNA, 1095 nt
Filed under: Microcebus murinus (gray mouse lemur)
Lineage: Eukaryota; Metazoa; Chordata; Mammalia; Primates; Cheirogaleidae
Description: lncRNA (ENSMICG00000048809.1)
Source: RNAcentral
AUGCGGCUUCCCCCUCACAUCUGGGCACGCAGACCCUCCCCUCAGCCACCCCAGCAAGCCCGGAGAGCCUCAGCGAAGCCCCAGGUCCGGAAAGGUGGUGGGGGACCAGCACCUGUCCUCAGCCCGUCUGGACCAACCUUUCCCGAAAAGCCGGAGGCGAGCUGUGUGAUCCUGGCAGUGACUGGCCAAGUGCUACCACAGGAAGUGUUGCUGACUCUUCAAACGGCCAUGAAAACUUGCAACCUGAAACCCCAGAAAAAAUCUGCAGUCUGUCCAGAGUGUGGGUUGUGUGUCACCUCGAACCUGACCUUGUCAUUUCAAGGAUGGCCAGGCGUUCUCCCUCCAUACACCUCACCACACCCAGCUGGACUCCCCUCUUGCCCCUGCCCUUACGUGGGCAGGGCUGGGCCUCCAGGACCAGGCAGCCUGUAUGCCGGGCGCCCCCUGGUGGUUGGGGAACCCCAGCCUUGUGAGCCCCAAGAAUUGGAGAAGACCAGAGUAUUGGGGGAUAUUGAGCUCUGCUGCAGACCCCAACAGGGGCAUCUGACCCCAUUCUGCCUUCCUGGGAGCAGGAGGCUGAGGCAGGAGGAUCGCUUGAGGCGAAGACUUUGGGCCCACUGUGGCUGAAGAAAGGAGGCCUGAACCCAUUGCUGCAAAGGAUCCUGCCUCUUUCUGGGGCCCCCAGACUCCUGGCCAUCUUCAGGGUUAAUAAAGCUGCUUUUUAAUAACAGCUUUACUAUGUAUAAUUCACAUACUACAUAAUUCACCCAUUUAAAGUGUACAAUGCAGUGGUUUUUAGUAUAUUCACAGAGUUAUGCAACAUUACCACAGUCAAUUUUAGAACACUUUCUUCACCCCAAAAAGGAACCCCACACCCAUUAGCAGUCACUCCCCAUCUCCCUUCCUCUCAGCCCCAGGCAACCACUCAUUUACUUUCUGUCUCUGUGGAUUUGCUGCUGUGGCCUUCCGUGUCCGGCUUCUCUCACUGAUCUCACGUUUGUUUUUUUUUUUUUUUUUUUUGAGACAGAGUUUCACUUUGUUGCCCGGGCUAGAGUGAGUGCCGUGGCAUCAGCCCAGCUCACAGCAACCUCAGAC